UGGGGUAUCGCCAAGUUGGUAAGGCACUGGAUUCUGAUUCCAGCAUGCGUAGGUUCGAGUCCUACUACCCCAGCCA
This 76-nucleotide transfer RNA is filed under the name Nitrincola lacisaponensis. Its description in RNAcentral is "tRNA-Gln". It matches the Rfam family "tRNA". Rfam says of the family: Transfer RNA (tRNA) molecules are approximately 80 nucleotides in length. Their secondary structure includes four short double-helical elements and three loops (D, anti-codon, and T loops). RNAcentral also lists the same sequence under 2 other names. The record is from RNAcentral. Lineage: Bacteria; Pseudomonadati; Pseudomonadota; Gammaproteobacteria; Oceanospirillales; Oceanospirillaceae.